UUAUAAAGAAAUGGAUUCUUGAUGUACUAAAAGACUUCUAUGUGGACAUCUAACAAAACUCGUUUUUUUUGUAUUGUAUAGUAGGAGUUUGGUUGGGCAACUUCUAAGCACAAUGUCUACCUUAUGUCACACUUUUUAGGUGAGCCACUGCUAUACUUCGACAUCUGGAAAGCAUAAAGUUCUCAGUGUUCAAAGUCAUGUUUCCCCUGCCAAAGUUAGUUUUUCUUCCGGAACCAUGAAAGAUUCUUCUAUAAAAGUUUACAUCCGCUAAUGGUGAUUUUUUAAUAAAAAAAUUCUUAUGUGGGUGCAUAAACAUUCUGGAAUAAAUAGAGAUUUACAAAGACUCAAGUGAGUACACUUGCACUAGUGAGACAUAAUUUUAAGUUGCUUUCCUACUCCUACAUUUUAAGAUUAUAGUUCCAGAGAGGAGAAGAGGGUUGUCUGUUUCAAAUUUUGUGUGGUGUCUAUCACAGACCCGUUUCUUGGAUUAAUAGUUGCAUUCAUUUGUGUUUAAUGAUUAAUUAUGGUUACUCACAGACUUGAUUUUUUAGAUCUAUCGUUUGUUCACGAAUGCAUGUGUUUUUCUUACGACAGAUGGAAAGUUUGGCCGUCAUACAAAGAGUGAUCCACGUUUGCAUCAUAAAUCUUUUAGUGUAAGAGUGACAAGAGCAGAGGGAGGAGAAAAUAUAUUUGGAUAAAUAUUCCAUCCCCCGUAAUUUGUAUCAUCCGUGUGUGGUUUGUUUAUCCAAGUUUUGGUGAAUAUAUAGAAGAGAGAAACAUCAAUCUAACAAAACAAUUUUACCAUUUUACACUAAGAUUUUAUAACUGUUGUAAUUUGUAUGUACAAAAAGGGUGUUUCAGACGAUGUCUCUUUCAGGACAAAGCAUGUUUCAGGUUCUUCUCUGUCUCUUAUGUAAACAAUAAUUAAUCAGGUUUUGAGAGGCUUUCACUCCGCACCUCUUAUUGAUUCAACAAAGAAUCUUCUCUGGCAUUCACGUCCUCUGUUAUUCUCCAGUUCCGUUCUAUGCUCUUAGGGUCUGCCGUUGAGAUGCGUAAGAUCUUGUUAUGGAACUUGGUUAACGUCUGCCGAUGGCCAAUGCUUAUGUAUGUAAUCCCAGCUGACUGGAUUUGCUGGUAGAG
This 1140-nucleotide long non-coding RNA is filed under the name Brassica napus (rape). RNAcentral describes it as "long non-coding RNA (BNAP_LNC000367)". Lineage: Eukaryota; Viridiplantae; Streptophyta; Magnoliopsida; Brassicales; Brassicaceae. The record is from RNAcentral.